Molecule: long non-coding RNA, 4752 nt
Organism: Vespa mandarinia (Asian giant hornet)
Lineage: Eukaryota; Metazoa; Arthropoda; Insecta; Hymenoptera; Vespidae
Source: RefSeq, a predicted model, not a curated record
UUUCGCUUGUGUCUCUAUUCGUGCGAUAUAUUUUUUUAAAGGAGGGUCGAGAGAAAAAGGCAGAGAGAGAGAGAGAGAGAAUCGGUAUGCGUAUUAAUAUUUUCUGGAUUAGUCUGAUGAUGUUCGCUACGAUCGCAGCCUUUUGGAAGACGGGGAACCGUGCGACAGCCGUAUCUCUGCCAAUCGGUGAUACUCAUCGCGACGUUUACAUCAUCCUCCGUCCACGAAAAAAAAAGAAGUUUCACUUCGUGAAAAUCAGGCCACGAAAAGCACUGGUCCACGAGAUUUAUCUAAACUUUUAAGCACUUUCCUCGUCCGUACCAAAAAAGUAAUGUAGGAUGAGAAAGAGGGAAAAAUUCGCAACGUCUCUUUUUUUCUUUCUUCUUCUUCUUUUCCCUCAAGUGCCAAAGAUCCAACGGUUGAAACGAAUUUGUUCUAAACAAUAUCUGGAUGGUUGGUUACGAAGGUGAAAAGAAAAUUGUACCGCCGUGAAAAGGAUAUUGAUACCUGGGAUUCUACGAGAAAGACGGAUAUCGAUGGGAAAAAAAGAAAUUCGAUUGCGCGUUCGACCGCAGCCGCAAUUAUUCUUCAUUUACGAAGAAGAGAAGGAGGAGGAGGAGGAGGAGGAGGAGGAGGAGGAGGAGAAGGAGAAACGUGGUACCUACGUACGUGUCUCGAGAAUGACUUUGUAGAACGAGGAAAGGAACAUUUUUUUCGUCGAAUACAGGAAGAGGAGAGACCAGUCUUCUUUUUCUUUUUACCUUUUUACCCGUGGAAUCAUCCUAGAUUAUAAUCGUCGAUACGAACGUGCAUGCGUCGCGUGUAUGCCUAUACCCGGGAAGGCAACGUCUUACCUUGACCCAGCACUUCCGGCUUUCGCCUCGCACAACUGGCUUUGCGUAAGCUGCUUGCCGCGAUGCGUUUUAUGUUUCUCUCUCUCUCUCUUUCUCUCUCUUUCUCUCUUGUCAGGUGCACGUAGACAAACAAACGUAUCCAAUGUGCGUACUCGUUAAAAUUAUAUCACAACGCUCGUACUACCGCAUUGGUAAGAGCAGUCUUGCUCGUCGGGGAUCAGAUCGUGAUAAAAGUGAGAAAGCGAUAUCGCCUAAUUAAAACGAGUCGUUGUUGUUAAGUCGAAAUAAAUCCAACUUUUGUCCACGUUGAUUUCGUCGAGAAUCGCACGACCUACGAGACGCAAAUUUCAUCCUUCGCACGGUCGCCAAUAACAUCGGUCACGCUGCAAACUCGUCGCGCGACGAGCCAGACAGACGUUCUGCUUCGAUCCGGUUAGACGUGUUGCGAAACAGGUGCGAAUUUCCGUUCGGAUAUUUAUUAAUUUCCGGCCUUUGCGAUCCACCCUCGUUUCCGCGUAGUAAUUAAAUCUCUGCCAAAUUUAUGUCGCGACUCGGAAGGAAACGAUUCGUUGGCCUCAUUUUUCUUUUUUUUUUUUUCUACGUCAGCCUGACAAGAAUGAACGUUCCCCUUUUAUCCUCGUAUUUAUCGCGAAAUAAUGAAUGCGAAAAAUUAUAUUCAUCAACAACCGAACCAGCACGUAAGUAUCCACGCGCUUUAAAACGUUUCUGCGUAGCGGCUAUCCAAGUCACUUUCUUUGCUUCUUUGGCGCAAAGGGACGAAUAAACGAAUUGGCCUAGUUCGAUUACUCUUUGAUCGAUUGCGGAAUGACAAUAACGUUAAAUUUACUUUAUCCGGAUUAGCAGACCAAUUUUCAAUCUGUGGAGAGGGACGUUGGUAGAUGGAUUUUUCUCUUUGGUAGAUGCAACUAUAAGUCGCGUCUCAUCUUACGUACGUCGAUCGUACGAUUUCCGCGUGCAAUCUUAAGGUUUCUCGCGGAAACCUUGCUACGCCGUACGAAAGAAUGGCAAUUUCUCUCUCUCUCUCUCUCUUUCUCUCUGUCUAAAACUCUCUUUCGGAGCAAGGUACCUUUUUCCUUUAAUUUCCAGACGUUCGCGAUAUCGUGAAAAGUCGAAAAGAGACGCAUCUCGCAUGGGAAUUCGUUUUUUUUCUUACGGCAACCAUUGAUCUCUAUCACACAUAUACAUAUUCGUGUUUAUCCGAGAACUUUGCUUUUCCGUGCGAGCGACCGACCGAGAGACGUCGAUCUCGAGCACGAAUGAAAACGAAUUUGAAUGGGUCGAAUAUUUUUACGUUUUGCUAAAGUAGAAAGAAAGAUCGGAUUUGUUCAACGUUUCGUUUCUAUGAAAAAGAACGAGGAUUUUUUACUUGCCGACUUGUUUCUUUUCUUUUUCUCUCUCUUCCUCUUUUAAAGCUAGAGGGAGAUCGUGUAAAAUACGUUUCUCCCUGGAGGGAAUCGAGUCGGUAGAAAAAUUCCCGCGCGUCUGCUACCGAGAUAGUUGGAUAGAUAGAUAGAUAGAGAGAGAAAGAAAGAAAGAAAGAGAGAGAGAGAGAGAGACAGAGAGAGAGAGAGAGAGAGAGAGAGAGAGAGAGAGACGAAAUAAAUUGUCGUCUGGAGACAAUUUCGCGUGGCCUGGCCGUAGAGUUUUCCGCUGCGAAACGUUGAGUACUUUCGACCGUACGAACUUUACGAGGACAAGUUUCUUCUUUCACGUACGAAUUUAAGUACGCACACGGUCUGAAUCGUGUGCUCGAAAUUGCUCGUAGAAACGAAAAGCGCUAUGUGUACAUACGUAUAAUCCUAGCUCGAUGCGAUGCACUACUCUGUUUUAUGCAAAUGCCACGCCGUCCUUUGGCUCGAUCCUCCUUUCUUUUCUGUUUUUUUUCUUCCCCUCCCCCCGCCUCGAUAAGAAAUCUAAAUCUGGGGAUACUCUUGCGCAUAAAAUAAUGACAUUUUGUUAACUAAACACGUUCGAUCGUUUUACGUAAUUUGGAAUUACGUAGUUGAGAAGAAAGGACGAAGGGAAGAUUAGAAAAGGGAGGAAAUGAAGAGAGUCGUUGACGCAAAGACAGAAAAAAGGAUUUUCAUCGAUCCUUUUUGCCCUUUUUCCCUCGAGUUAUCCAAAGACAUGUGCGUGACACACUUGGCUCUUGCCUGGCAUCUCGACCGCGUCUCGUCGACUAACGUUGGACGACGCGCAACCAUCGCUCUCCAUCGACAUUAUUUGCCCUUUGAUCUUUCUACAUCCUUUUUUUAAUAAUACGAUUCGACGAAUACAUGGACGAUUAAUUUUUAUUUCUUUUAAUCCCAUCUUAUAUUAUAUCAUAUUUCAUUUUUUAUUUUUUGAUGAGGAUUCGAUGGAUCACCGACAAUUUUUGUCUCCGGGCGACGAAAUUUCACACAUAACAAUGUGCCAACUUUAAGCGUCGCGGAUGUUUGAUAACGUCUUUGUAAUUUUACUUCGCAUGUACUACUUGCGAGUCAUAGGAAGAAAAGUAAAUAAAAAAGUCCAACGUCGUAUGAAAUAAUGCGCGGGUAAUUAUCCCAACUAUAUUUGAUAAGGUCGAAAAGGAGGAAAAGGAAAGAUAGAAGAAGCUUUCGACAAAUUGGAUCUCGUCAUUGGAAUCGACCCGGCAUCGCGGGGACUCCUGAAAUUUUUCUCGCGGAAGUUCUUUGUGUCGCGAACUAUGGGAACGAAAACUUGACGCUACGUUGCGCGCAAAAAUAAGGAUUUUAUAUCUCCCUGCUGCAACGCAUAUUAUUACGAAUAUAACAACGAAUUCGCUUCGUCGAAUAUUUUCUUUGGACGAUGAUCGAUGGAUAGAUGGAAGGAAAUAAAAGAAGAAAGGAGAAACGUAAGUUUUCGACCGGACAUUUUGGCGUCGCUGCCAAAAGAUUCGAGCGAAAAGAGAAAAAUACACGUACGCGAAUAAGCCUGGUUUCUUCGUCGUCAUUCUCUUCUCGUUUGUCAUAUAUAGGAGCUCUCGGCGCAAAUGGACACUAUUCCUGUGAAUUUUGGCCUACACGGCCGACGGAGAUUAUUCGAACUCCUCGAUUAUUCGAGGUCUUCGAAGCUCGAUCAUCAUGUGAGUUAGAUUAACAUCUUCGCGCGUUUUUCUAUUAUGUUGAUGUGCCAUAGCCGGGCCAUCGCUAGGACGAGCGAUGAGGCGUACCUCCACGUGGUUCCCCGUGGGCAUAUACCGUAAGGUGCAUGGUGAAAUCAUCCUCUCGGUUCGUCCUCCGGGCGCCUGGGAUUCUUUCAGGCUCUGCACCGGAAGCAUGAUUCGCUAGAAAAGUUUAAUUGCCUAAUACCAUCUUGGCGGCCAAAGCCGAUAUAGGAGAAAUCCUAAGAAGCAGCGCACCCCGUAGGGCCACGAAGGCCAGCAGUAUCUGUAUUAUAUAGGAAAGAAAUUUUGGAAAUGGUAUUUGCACAGGUAGACGGUUCCAACUGAAGGCAAGCAUGACGCUUUCGCUCGGGCUUGGUAUUUACGGUUCAAGAGUUUCAUCCACAAGAGGGUAGGAAAGAGAGAGAGAGAGAGAGAGAGAGAGAGAGAGAGAGAGAGAGAGAGAGAGAGGAACGACAUCGCGCUUGUGAGCUUGCCUCACUGUUUUGUCUAACGAUCAAGACGAGCAUUUUCUGGCGAUUGAAAAAUUCCUUGGCAAUUUCCCUUUUGGUCAAGGGGAAAUUCGAAACUCGCUCGCUUUCGUCCGCUCUCUCGCGGUGGUCGUUGCGUAAGAUCCUGUCGGAGGCGACGAGACGUUUCGUAAAGCGUCACGUUUCACGGUAGACUCGUAAUUGCAUCGUCCGAGAUUGUUCAUUCAUUUUCGCCAACUCCUUUAACGAUACUCUUUACCUUCCGUUUAAUAACUAUUCCAAA